UUAGGAAUUUUGCGCAAUGGGCGAAAGCCUGACCGAGCCAUGCCGCGUGAGUGACGAAGGCCUUAGGGUCGUAAAGCUCUUUCGCCAGGGAUGAUAAUGACAGUACCUGGUAAAGAAACCCCGGCUAACUCCGUGCCAGCAGCCGCGGUAAUACGGAGGAGGUUAGCGUUGUUCGGAAUUACUGGGCGUAAAGCGCACGUAGGCGGACUAUUAAGUCAGGGGUGAAAUCCCGGGGCUCAACCCCGGAACUGCCCUUGAUACUGGUAGUCUUGAGUUCGAGAGAGGUGAGUGGAAUUCCGGGUGUAGAGGUGAAAUUCGUAGAUAUUCGGAGGAACACCAGUGGCGAAGGCGGCUCACUGGCUCGAUACUGACGCUGAGGUGCGAAAGCGUGGGGAGCAAACAGGAUUAGAUACCCGGGUAGUCC
This 424-nucleotide ribosomal RNA is filed under the name uncultured prokaryote. RNAcentral's name for it is "bacterial SSU rRNA". It matches the Rfam family "Bacterial small subunit ribosomal RNA", at positions 355 to 796 of the family's 1533-position model. The record is from RNAcentral.